This 767-nucleotide long non-coding RNA is filed under the name Anthonomus grandis grandis. Its description in RNAcentral is "uncharacterized LOC126735607". Lineage: Eukaryota; Metazoa; Arthropoda; Insecta; Coleoptera; Curculionidae. The record is from RNAcentral.
UAAAUUUAUAUGUGAAGAUUGUGGAACGUAAUUUUGUUCUACUUCAACGUUGUAUCGGCAUAUGAGGAAUAUACAUAAUAAAAAACAAAGUGAAAAAGAGAGCAAACACAUUAUUUGCCCCCUUUGGUUUGACAAAGAGAAGUUUACAUCCUAAGAUUCUUUAAUAACACACUUUCAUAGUAUUCAUAAUAUACAUAAUAUUAAAGAAUCUGUUUUAAAUUUUAGGAAUUUGGCAGAGUUUGAAGCUUGGAGGUCUCUGGAAAACAAAGAGGUAGAUUAUGCUGUUCACCGAAGAAAGAAAUCUGCUAAUGGAGAAGAAUGUAUUUACUAUAAUUGUAAUACAAGUGAUUCAAAAGGAUAUAUCAGUACAUGUUUGCAACAGAAUUUAAAGUCUAAAGAAAGCAUUCGCAUUCAAGGACUCUGUCUAUCAAGAAUAAUAGUUAAAAUUUUGGUAAAUGGAGUGAUUAGAGUAAGAUUUUUUGAAACCCACAUAGGACACACUGAUGAAUUAAGAAGCAAAAGGCUAACAAAAUCGUAAUUAUCCAUAACGUAAUUAUGGUGGUGAAUUGGGUGAACAUGAUUUAAAAAUGUUUAUGGGUGAUUUUAGAAAUUUUAUGCAGACAGUAAAGCAAAAAGAAAUUGUGAUGAGUAAAAAAGAUAAAAAUAGAAAAGCAGCAGUAUUAUCCCAACAAAAAACCUAAAUAAAGUUAUUUAUAACAAAAUUUUUAUAACUGUUUUAUUAUUGCAUGACAUUGCUUUUAUGAGUG